RNAcentral lists this ribosomal RNA (292 nucleotides) under uncultured bacterium. RNAcentral describes it as "partial 16S ribosomal RNA". It matches the Rfam family "Bacterial small subunit ribosomal RNA", at positions 505 to 796 of the family's 1533-position model. The record is from RNAcentral.
GUGUCAGCCGCCGCGGUAAGACGAACCGUGCGAACGUUGUUCGGAUUCACUGGGCUUAAAGGGCGCGUAGGCGGGCACUCAAGUCAGGGGUGAAAUCUUUCGGCUUAACCGGAAAACAGCCCCUGAUACUGGGUGUCUCGAGGGAGGUAGGGGCAUGUGGAACUUCCGGUGGAGCGGUGAAAUGCGUAGAUAUCGGAAGGAACGCCGGUGGCGAAAGCGACGUGCUGGACCUCUACUGACGCUGAGGCGCGAAAGCCAGGGGAGCAAACGGGAUUAGAAACCCGUGUAGUCC